GACGAACGCUGGCGGCGUGCCUAAUACAUGCAAGUUGAGCGCUGAAGGCUGGUACUUGUACCGACUGGAUGAGCAGCGAACGGGUGAGUAACGCGUGGGGAAUCUGCCUUUGAGCGGGGGACAACAUUUGGAAACGAAUGCUAAUACCGCAUAAAAACUUUAAACACAAGUUUUAAGUUUGAAAGAUGCAAUUGCAUCACUCAAAGAUGAUCCCGCGUUGUAUUAGCUAGUUGGUGAGGUAAAGGCGCACCAAGGCGAGGAUACAUAGCCGACCUGAGAGGGUGGGCGGCCACAUUGGGACUGAGACACGGCCCAAACGCCUACAGGAGGGAGCAGGAGGGAAUCGUCGGCAAUGGACGGAAGUCUGACCGCGCAACGCCGCGUGAGGGUAGAAGGUUGUCGGGUGGUAAAACUCGGUUGGUAGGGAAGAACGUUGGUGAGAGUGGAAAGCUCAUCAAGUGACGGUAACUACUCAGAAAGGGACGGCUAACUACGUG
Molecule: ribosomal RNA, 497 nt
Filed under: uncultured bacterium
Lineage: Bacteria
Description: partial 16S ribosomal RNA
Rfam family: Bacterial small subunit ribosomal RNA
Source: RNAcentral